This 301-nucleotide ribosomal RNA is filed under the name uncultured bacterium. RNAcentral describes it as "partial 16S ribosomal RNA". It matches the Rfam family "Bacterial small subunit ribosomal RNA", at positions 509 to 807 of the family's 1533-position model. The record is from RNAcentral.
CAGCAGCCACGGGAACACAGAGGGUGCGAGCGUUAAUCGGAUUUACUGGGCGUAAAGCGUGCGUAGGCGGCUUUUUAAGUCGGAUGUGAAAUCCCUGAGCUUAACUUAGGAAUUGCAUUCGAUACUGGGAAGCUAGAGUAUGGGAGAGGAUGGUAGAAUUCCAGGUGUAGCGGUGAAAUGCGUAGAGAUCUGGAGGAAUACCGAUGGCGAAGGCAGCCAUCUGGCCUAAUACUGACGCUGAGGUACGAAAGCAUGGGGAGCAAACAGGAUUAGAUACCCGAGUAGUCCCUGUCUCUUAUAC